UGCGCAGGCGGCCAAGUGUGUUAGAUGUGAAAUCCCGGGGCUCAACCCCGGAACUGCGUCUAAAACUACUUGGCUAGAGCAUUGGAGAGGGUAGCGGAAUUCACGGUGUAGCAGUGAAAUGCGUAGAUAUCGUGAGGAACACCAGAGGCGAAGGCGGCUACCUGGACAAUUGCUGACGCUCAGGCACGAAAGCGUGGGGAGCAAAAGGGAUUAGAUACCCCUGUAGUCCACGCCCUAAACGGUGCACACUAGGUCUUGGCGGAUUCGACCCCACCAGGGCCCAAGCUAACGCGUUAAGUGUGCCGCCUGAGGACUACGGCCGCAAGGCUAAA
RNAcentral lists this ribosomal RNA (332 nucleotides) under uncultured bacterium. RNAcentral describes it as "bacterial SSU rRNA". It matches the Rfam family "Bacterial small subunit ribosomal RNA", at positions 568 to 898 of the family's 1533-position model. The record is from RNAcentral.